AGAUAUGUGUUUCCGUUAAUUUGGCUUCGUUAUCAAAUAACAACACGGCGCAAUGCACAAAUUUAGCUCGGCAGCGCUGCCACUGUUAGCGUUCGACUGAUAGAUCAAGCGGGAGCUGUGUUUGAGGUCUGGCAACGAUCGCACCCCAGCAGCUGAGCAUGGCUGAGAAAUAAGAAAGUUUGCGGCCGCACUUGUCUGCUGCUCAUUGUUUCCUUGUGCUUAAUUUGCGGUUCACGUUGCAGUUGUUGAUCGUGGUUAUUAUGGAUGAUUUUGUCCGUGUGUGUACUGUGAUCGAGCCGGAUUGACUUCGAAAGUUGCAACGCAUGGAACGGCCGAUGGGCAGCUUUGUUUAACUUCAAGACCAUGUGCUGCUGAAAGCUUUCUGAAAGCAACAGGACAAAAAAUAAGGGAUGUGGGCCUUGGAAAGACCAGCUGAUGGAAAAAAAAUCAACGUCUGUGUUGCACGCAACGCCAUUGUGACAGUCUGCAUCACCAUUUGGCCUGUUGUGGGAUCCCACAAGACACGCUCUGUUCCUCGGUCAAUUACUGAACUUCUGCAAGCCCCAUGGAAGCCAACUGUGAUCCGCAUCGAAUGGAACAAAUUCAUUGUUCCGGCCUUCAUAAUUAUUGUUUAAGCUGAAGUUAGAAACGGAGCUGAAACAGCGUAUCUUCUGUAAGAAUUUACCACUGCAUACCGUCCGGUGGCCACACCCGACGGUAUGCUACUGUCUAGAACACUGCUAGUCUACUGACUAGAACAUGGAUGGUGUUUUAUUCUAGAAUAGCUUUGUUAGUAGUACUACUGCUUGCGUUUGUAGGAUCACAGUCCACGCUCUUUUUGCAAUCCUAUCAGAACACAAAAAGUAGAGGAUAAAUUUAAUUUAUUGUUUCAGAGAUUGACACUUGGAUUGACCAAAAAUAAUUCAGUGAUACAGACUGCUUUAUUAAAUAUGGGUUAAGAAAAGAAACCUGGACGAAAAAUACAGACUUAAGCAGCAAGGUGCCUAUGAAGGCAGAUGUAUGCAAAAUGCCUUUAGUGGUGAUGUUUGAGCUGUUAGGAUGUCAGAAAGGAGAUAGUUGUUUUAGCCAAAAUAGUGCGACAACGACUACAGUGCAGCAGUACACAUUAACUGGAGCUCCUCUUCUCCCCUUGCACACCAGCGCAAGCGCAGCACCCUUGAAAAGGCAGUUGCUCUGCGUGGUUGCGUUGGCAGCCUGGUUCCUGCAUAAGAGAAGGGGUUGGUUAUAAACAUACAGUGAUGUUAACGCACAUAAAAACUAGCUUAGGUACAGUAUUCGUUUUCAUCAGUUUACUUUUCGAAGUAAAUACAUUCAUUACAUAUUUUCAUUGUGUUCAGGAAGCCGAGUUUUU
Molecule: long non-coding RNA, 1372 nt
Organism: Dermacentor silvarum
Lineage: Eukaryota; Metazoa; Arthropoda; Arachnida; Ixodida; Ixodidae
Exons: 3
Source: RefSeq, a predicted model, not a curated record